AGCAGCUAGCACCACCAAUAUGCUUCCUAGGGAUGACACCUGUUGGUUUAAUACAAGUGCAGAGGAUGGAUUGAUCGUGGCCUAAGAUAUGAACCAGUUCACUUCACCAUUACAUGAGGCUCCAUUCAGCCAAUGGAUGCCUGGUACUUCUAGAUGAUGUGACUCGGGAAAAGGGCGGUGUCACAGGGACGCUGGCAGAAGCGAAGAAGAAGCCAAAAGAGAAGCCGAGAAAGAAGCAGCAGAAGCCAGAAGAGAAGCCAAGAGAAGGCCGGAGAGCCCAGAUAGAGUGAAGACUUGCUGGGGGCUGGGAGGACUGCCAGCCUCCCGGCCCCCCAGCACCCCUGCCUGCCGUAUGCCUGGUGAACCCCAAUAAAAGACCUGCAUA
Talpa occidentalis (Iberian mole) is the source of this 385-nucleotide long non-coding RNA. RefSeq lists it as uncharacterized. The transcript is spliced from 3 exons. NCBI's taxonomy places the organism in Eukaryota, Metazoa, Chordata, Mammalia, Eulipotyphla, Talpidae. The record is from RefSeq and is a predicted model, not a curated record.